CAAUAGCGUAUAUUAAAGUUGUUGCAGUUAAAAAGCUCGUAGUUGGAUUUCUGGUGGGUGCGAUCGGUCUGGCGCUUAGCGCGAGUACUUGCAUCGUCUCCGGCCAUCCUUGGGGAGAGUCUGUCUGGCAUUAGGUUGUCGGGCAGAGGAUCCUCAUCGUUUACUGUGAAAAAAUUAGAGUGUUCAAAGCAGGCUUAUGCCGUUGAAUAUAUUAGCAUGGAAUAAUAAGAUAGGACUUUGGUACUAUUUUGUUGGUUUGCGCACCAAAGUAAUGAUUAAUAGGGACAGUUGGGGGUAUUCGUAUUCCGUUGUCAGAGGUGAAAUUCUUGGAUUUACGGAAGACGAACUACUGCGAAAGCAUUUACCAAGGAUGUUUUCAUUAA
This 383-nucleotide ribosomal RNA is filed under the name uncultured eukaryote. Its description in RNAcentral is "partial 18S ribosomal RNA". It matches the Rfam family "Eukaryotic small subunit ribosomal RNA", at positions 592 to 976 of the family's 1831-position model. The record is from RNAcentral.